This 253-nucleotide ribosomal RNA is filed under the name uncultured bacterium. RNAcentral describes it as "partial 16S ribosomal RNA". It matches the Rfam family "Bacterial small subunit ribosomal RNA", at positions 524 to 776 of the family's 1533-position model. The record is from RNAcentral.
UACGUAGGGUGCGAGCGUUAAUCGGAAUUACUGGGCGUAAAGCGCACGUAGGCGGAUAUUUAAGUCAGGGGUGAAAUCCCAGAGCUCAACUCUGGAACUGCCUUUGAUACUGGGUAUCUCGAGUAUGGAAGAGGUGAGUGGAAUUCCGAGUGUAGAGGUGAAAUUCGUAGAUAUUCGGAGGAACACCAGUGGCGAAGGCGGCUCACUGGUCCAUUACUGACGCUGAGGUGCGAAAGCGUGGGGAGCAAACAGG